Molecule: ribosomal RNA, 482 nt
Filed under: uncultured bacterium
Lineage: Bacteria
Description: bacterial SSU rRNA
Rfam family: Bacterial small subunit ribosomal RNA
Source: RNAcentral
UUGAACGCUGGCGGCAUGCUUUACACAUGCAAGUCGAACGGCAGCGGGGGCUUCGGCCUGCCGGCGAGUGGCGAACGGGUGAGUAAUGCAUCGGAACGUACCCAGUCGUGGGGGAUAACUACGCUAAAGCGUAGCUAAUACCGCCUACGCCCUGAGGUGGAAAGCGGGGGACCUUCGGGCCUCGCGCGAUUGGAGCGGCUGAUGUCGGAUUAGCUAGUUGGUGGGGUAAAGGCCUACCAAGGCGACGAUCCGUAGCUGGGCUGAGAGGAUGAGCAGCCACACUGGGACUGAGACACGGCCCAGACUCCUACGGGAGGCAGCAGGGGGGAAUUUUGGACAAUGGGCGCAAGCCUGAUCCAGCCAUGCCGCGUGAGUGAAGAAGGCCUGCGGGUUGUAAGGCUCUUUCAGACGGAAAGAAAGCGGGCGCGUGAAUAGCGUGCCUGGAUGACGGUACUGUCAGAAGAAGCACCGGCUAACUACGU